AUUGAACGCUGGCGGCAUGCCUUACACAUGCAAGUCGAACGGCAGCACGGGAGCAAUCCUGGUGGCGAGUGGCGAACGGGUGAGUAAUAUAUCGGAACGUGCCCGGUCGUGGGGAUAACGUAGCGAAAGCUACGCUAAUACCGCAUACGAUCUACGGAUGAAAGCGGGGGAUCGCAAGACCUCGCGCGAUUGGAGCGGCCGAUAUCAGAUUAGGUAGUUGGUGAGGUAAAGGCUCACCAAGCCGACGAUCUGUAGCUGGUCUGAGAGGACGACCAGCCACACUGGGACUGAGACACGGCCCAGACUCCUACGGGAGGCAGCAGUGGGAAUUUUGGACAAUGGGCGCAAGCCUGAUCCAGCAAUGCCGCGUGCAGGAUGAA
Molecule: ribosomal RNA, 380 nt
Filed under: uncultured bacterium
Lineage: Bacteria
Description: bacterial SSU rRNA
Rfam family: Bacterial small subunit ribosomal RNA
Source: RNAcentral